RNAcentral lists this ribosomal RNA (461 nucleotides) under uncultured bacterium. Its description in RNAcentral is "partial 16S ribosomal RNA". It matches the Rfam family "Bacterial small subunit ribosomal RNA", at positions 338 to 795 of the family's 1533-position model. The record is from RNAcentral.
CCUACGGGCGGCAGCAGUGAGGAAUAUUGGUCAAUGGACGCAAGUCUGAACCAGCCAUGCCGCGUGCAGGAAGACGGCUCUAUGAGUUGUAAACUGCUUUUGUACGAGGGUAAAUCCCGAUACGUGUAUCGGGUUGAAAGUAUCGUACGAAUAAGGAUCGGCUAACUCCGUGCCAGCAGCCGCGGUAAUACGGAGGAUUCAAGCGUUAUCCGGAUUUAUUGGGUUUAAAGGGUGCGUAGGCGGAUUGAUAAGUUAGAGGUGAAAUGUCCGAGCUCAACUCGGGAACUGCCUCUAAUACUGUUGAUCUAGAGAGUAGAUGCGGUAGGCGGAAUGUAUGGUGUAGCGGUGAAAUGCUUAGAGAUCAUACAGAACACCGAUUGCGAAGGCAGCUUACCAAUCUAUAUCUGACGUUGAGGCACGAAAGCGUGGGGAGCAAACAGGAUUAGAUACCCCUGGUAGUC